This is a long non-coding RNA of Actinia tenebrosa (Australian red waratah sea anemone), 411 nucleotides long. The record is from RefSeq and is a predicted model, not a curated record. NCBI's taxonomy places the organism in Eukaryota, Metazoa, Cnidaria, Anthozoa, Actiniaria, Actiniidae.
AAGAUACAAAGAAUUUUAAAGUUGACCAGAGCUUUUMCCAAGGGACCUUUGGCUGAAUUGAUUCGUUAUCAAAGUGAUAUAUCAGCAUGGGACUGUUUAAUGCAUAAUAAUGGCCUAUUACAUUGCAUGAACUGCUUCUGAUUUCGAUCUCCAUCACAAGUUAAGAAUCCAGCAUUAGAAAAACGUUAGUCAUAGACAUACCUCCAUUAGCGACACAAAACAGUAGAUUCCUUCGCCYUUUUCUUUAUGAGGACAUGAAACCUGGAUGAAACAAUCCAUGGCCAGCACUAAGAUGACAGCUAUCAAGACGUGCAUAAAAGACCUUAUUGAUCUUGGUGCAAUGUUUUCUCAUUUCAGACUACGAGGAUUAUACUUGAGGGCGAUGGCGAAACCGGCCUGAAUGCACACCCC